GUAGAAACUAGAACAUUACACGAAACUAAAAGUAAACAUGAAGGUAACGAUGUUGAAGCGUGUGACAUGACUAAACUGAAAGCGUGCGAAGUACGGGUAUCAAGAAUAAUGAUUCCUGUCCUAUCUUAAUAUGACUGGAUUUUUUAUAUUUAAUGGUAAUGAGUUUUUUGGAACAAUCAUAUAACCAAUAAAUACACAGUAUUUUUGCAAAUAAGGAAGGUUCACAUAUGUGAAGGUCUAGAUGGUAUCUAUGAUGCAUGGGGUUUACCCAAGGAUACUUAGAUAACCCUGUUUUGAUCAAACUUUUGCAGAAGACAACGGAGCAUUGCAAUGGCUACGUAGAUCUUCAGAUUGGAAUCUUUUUAUGUGGGUUUGUGCCAACACCAAGUGCCAAAUAACACGCAGUCUUUUUAUAAGGAAUGGUGUAUAUACUACUGGAUAAAAUUCAUAUGGUUAAACGAGUGGACAGAAUAGAAAACUAUCAACUCUAGAAGAAAAUAUUCUUAAAAUACUUAAAUAAAAAGAUGUUUUAAUUUGUUUAUAAGUUGUUACAUCUCACAUAUUGUUUCAUAAUAAA
Anoplophora glabripennis (Asian longhorned beetle) is the source of this 577-nucleotide long non-coding RNA. RefSeq lists it as uncharacterized. The record is from RefSeq and is a predicted model, not a curated record. Lineage: Eukaryota; Metazoa; Arthropoda; Insecta; Coleoptera; Cerambycidae. The transcript is spliced from 3 exons.